UGAAUACGAGACGCUAAGGCGUCGAAGUAGUGUAUGUCAUACUUCCAAGAAAAGCUUGCACUGUCAUAGAUAAAAAACGCCUGUACCAUAACCGACACAGGUGGGUAGGUAGAGUAUACUAAGGGGCGCGAGAUAACUCUCUCUAAGGAACUCGGCAAAAUAACUCCGUAACUUCGGGAGAAGGAGUGCCUUAUUCUUAAGGUUGCAAUAACAAGAUCCAAGCAACUGUUUAUCAAAAACACAGGUCUCCGCUAAGUCGUAAGACGAUGUAUGGGGGCUGACGCCUGCCCAGUGCCAGAAGGUUAAAGAAGCUGGUUAGCAUUUGCGAAGCUAGUAACUGAAGCCCUGGUGAACGGCGGCCGUAACGAUAACGGUCCUAAGGUAGCGAAAUUCCUUGUCGGGUAAGUUCCGACCCGCACGAAAGGCGUAAUGAUUUGGAUACUGUCUCGGAGAGGGGCUCGGUGAAAUAGACUUGUCUGUGAAGAUGCGGACUACCUGCACCAGGACAGAAAGACCCUAUGAAGCUUUACUGUAACUUGAAAUUGAAAUUGGACUUUAUUCGCGCAGUAUAGGUGGGAGGCGUUGAUUAUAAUCUUGCGGGAUUAUUGGAGCCAUUAGUGAGAUACCACUCUUGUAAUGUUAGAUUUCUAACUUUGAAUCAUUAUCUGGUCAAGGAACAGUUUCAGGCGGGCAGUUUGACUGGGGCGGUCGCCUCCUAAACGGUAACGGAGGCGUACAAAGGUUUCCUCUGAACGGUUAGAAAUCGUAUCUAGAGUGUAAAGGCAUAAGGAAGCUUGACUGUGAGACCUACAAGUCGAGCAGGGAGAAAGUCGGUCUUAGUGAUCUGACGGUACUGAGUGGAAAGGCCGUCACUCAACGGAUAAAAGUUACUCUAGGAUAACAGGCUGAUCUCCCCCAAGAGUUCACAUCGACGGGGAGGUUUGGCACCUUGAUGUCGGCUCAUCGCAUCCUGGGGCGGUAGUACGUCCCAAGGGUUGGGCUGUUCGCCCAUGAAAGCGGUACGCGAGCUGGGUUCAGAACGUCGUGAGACAGUUCGGUCCAUAUCCGGUGUAGGCGUUAGAAUAUUGAGAGGAGCCUUCUUUAGUACGAGAGGACCGAGAAGGACAUACCUCUGGUGUACCAGUUAUCGUGCCAACGGUAAACGCUGGGUAGCUAUGUAUGGAGUGGAUAACCGCUGAAAGCAUCUAAGUGGGAAGCCCACCUCAAGAUAAGUAUUCUCA
This 1241-nucleotide ribosomal RNA is filed under the name metagenome. RNAcentral describes it as "bacterial LSU rRNA". It matches the Rfam family "Bacterial large subunit ribosomal RNA", at positions 1564 to 2816 of the family's 2925-position model. The record is from RNAcentral.